This is a long non-coding RNA of Zalophus californianus (California sea lion), 975 nucleotides long. RefSeq lists it as uncharacterized. The transcript is spliced from 3 exons. NCBI's taxonomy places the organism in Eukaryota, Metazoa, Chordata, Mammalia, Carnivora, Otariidae. The record is from RefSeq and is a predicted model, not a curated record.
AGGGCAGCCAGGACCAGCCUUGACCGCGAGGGAGAACCACAAGCCCAGAGGUGUUGCUGGAAGGUCCAGAACCUGCUUGGGCUCAGCUGCUUUCUCCCUUCCAGUCUGCAGACGGAACGAGGCGGGGCUGUGUCUGUGGACAGAAGAGCAUCACUUCUCAGCGGAGAGCACAGGGGAGCAGCCUCAGAUGGGUAUCUGCACACUCAUGUGAACAGCAGCACGAUUCACAAUGGCCGAAAGGUGGAAGGAACCCAAAGGCCCAUCUGUGGUCCAUGAAAUCCAAGAGUCUGGGAACCAUUCCUCUGGCAGGUGUGAGGGGGAUCCAGAGAAGGUGGGCGGGGCUGUCUCCGUGAAUCGGAGAAUCGGCGUGAUGCCCCCGCCUCCCCUGGGUUGUGAACUCGGAGCAGCAACUGUCCCUACUUCUCCCAUCAACACAAGCUUCUCUUCAUGCUUCUCAUGACCUCCCUUUUUUUUUUUCCUUCCUUUUCCUCUCUUUGAGGGUGUUCCAAUCUUCUUCCCUGCCUUGCUUUUGCUCCAGCCCUUGGAGGGCAGCAGAAUAAGCCACCCGCAAACCUGCCACUUUGGCAUAAGGCUUAUUUUGAGCUGAAAGCAAAGGAGAAGAAGCAGAUGCAAGAACAGCUCUCCGCCCUCCCCUAGUCCCCUACAAUCAGGAUAUAAAUUUGUCAAGGUGUUGCGCUUCCCUCUCUGCCCGGAAGGAUGGAAGGGAAUCUCUGAAGGUGGCUCUCGACCCUGACCUUGACCAGGCAGAGGAACCCACGUGACACCUUUACUACCUAGCCCUUGUCUUCCCCUCGUGCCUCCAGAUGUUAACCUCACAACCUGCCGCCCUAGACAAAGUCCUUUUCUUGGUCUCGUCACUUCUCUAAACAUCUAUUUUUCUUUAUUAAUUUGUAAUAUAGGGGCGCCUGGGUGGCUCAUUUGGUUAGGCGUCUGCCUUCGGCUCCAGUCGUGGUC